GUCGGGCUGAAGACUCUACUUGACUAGCUGAGAGGAGGUGCAUGGCCGUCGUCAGUUCGUACUGUGAAGCAUCCUGUUAAGUCAGGCAACGAGCGAGACCCACGCCAACAGUUGCCAGCUCGUCCUCCGGGAUGGUGGGGACACUGUUGGGACCGCCUCUGCUAAAGAGGAGGAAGGAAUGGGCAACGGUAGGUCAGCAUGCCCCGAAUUAUCCGGGCUACACGCGGGCUACAAUGGUCAGGACAAUGGGUAUCGACACCGAGAGGUGGAGGCAAUCUCCUAAACCUGUCCUUAGUUCGGAUUGUGGGCUGCAACUCGCCCACAUGAAGCUGGAAUCCGUAGUAAUCGCGUUUCAAAAUAGCGCGGUGAAUAUGUCCCUGCUCCUU
This 386-nucleotide ribosomal RNA is filed under the name uncultured Methanolinea sp. RNAcentral describes it as "bacterial SSU rRNA". It matches the Rfam family "Archaeal small subunit ribosomal RNA", at positions 953 to 1338 of the family's 1478-position model. The record is from RNAcentral. Lineage: Archaea; Methanobacteriati; Methanobacteriota; Methanomicrobia; Methanomicrobiales; Methanoregulaceae.